Molecule: ribosomal RNA, 1232 nt
Filed under: uncultured bacterium
Lineage: Bacteria
Description: partial 16S ribosomal RNA
Rfam family: Bacterial small subunit ribosomal RNA
Source: RNAcentral
GGGUGAGUAGCGCGUGAGAAUCUAGCCCUAGGAGGGGGACAACAGGGGGAAACCCCUGCUAAUACCCCAUGUGCCGGAAGGUGAAAGAGAAAUCGCCUGGGGAUGAGCUCGCGUCGGAUUAGCUAGUUAGGGGGGUAAGAGCCCACCAAGGCGACGAUCCGUAGCUGGUCUGAGAGGAUGAGCAGCCACACUGGGACUGAGACACGGCCCAGACUCCUACGGGAGGNAGCAGUGGGGAAUUUUCCGCAAUGGGCGAAAGCCUGACGGAGCAAGACCGCGUGGGGGAGGAAGGCCCUUGGGUUGUAAACCCCUUUUACUCGGGAAGAAGAAAGUGACGGUACCGAGAGAAUAAGCCUCGGCUAACUCCGUGCCAGCAGCCGCGGUAAUACGGAGGAGGCAAGCGUUAUCCGGAAUCAUUGGGCGUAAAGCGUCCGCAGGUGGCAGUUCAAGUCCGCGGUCAAAGACCGGAGCUCAACUCCGGGAAGGCAGUGGAAACUGAAAAGCUAGAGGCCGGUAGGGGUAGCGGGAAUUCCCAGUGUAGCGGUGAAAUGCGUAGAGAUUGGGAAGAACAUCGGUGGCGAAAGCGCGCUACUGGGCCGGGCCUGACACUGAGGGACGAAAGCUAGGGGAGCGAAAGGGAUUAGAUACCCCUGUAGUCCUAGCCGUAAACGAUGGAGACUAGGCGUGGAGCGUAUAAAAGCGAGCCGUGCCGAAGCUAACGCGUUAAGUCUCCCGCCUGGGGAGUACGCACGCAAGUGUGAAACUCAAAGGAAUUGACGGGGGCCCGCACAAGCGGUGGAGUAUGUGGUUUAAUUCGAUGCAACGCGAAGAACCUUACCAGGGCUUGACAUCUGGCGAAUCUCGGGGAAAGACGAGAGUGCCUUAGGGAACGCCAAGACAGGUGGUGCAUGGCUGUCGUCAGCUCGUGUCGUGAGAUGUUGGGUUAAGUCCCGCAACGAGCGCAACCCUCGUCCCUAGUUGCCAGCACAGAAAGGUGGGAACUCUAGGGAGACUGCCGGUGACAAACCGGAGGAAGGUGGGGAUGACGUCAAGUCAGCAUGCCCCUUACGUCCUGGGCAACACACGUACUACAAUGGUUGGGACAGAGGGCAGCGAACUCGCGAGAGCCAGCGAAUCCCAGCAAACCCAGCCUCAGUUCAGAUCGCAGGCUGCAACUCGCCUGCGUGAAGGAGGAAUCGCUAGUAAUCGCCGGUCAGCAUACGGCGGUGAAU